UGAAACAAGGGAAAACGUUGGCAGCAGUAAAGAAUUUUAUGCAAUAUACGAAAGUAAGACAUAGGCAGAACCUUUUAACCUGUCAAAUUAAGUGCCAGCAGACGCGGUGAAACUUAAGGGUUUGUUUUUUAGAAAAAGCAGAAAGCGUGUAAAGGUAAAACAUUUAAAAUAAAUAGAAUUUUUUUAGUAAUAGUGCAAUAUUAAAAGAAAAAAAAGAAUUUUUUAUGUGAAGACAAUUUAUUUUUUUUCUUUAACACGAAGGUUCUGGGAGCAAACAGGAUUAGAGACCCUGGUAGUCGAUACAGUAAAAGAAAGUCGCUUGAGUAGUACGGUCGCAAGAUUAAAAUUCAAAAAACUUGGCUGUUCAUUGUUAUUUAGAGGAGCGCGUUGCUUAAUUCGAUAGCCCGCGAGUUACCUUACCAAAACUAGCUUUUUCAGGUGUUGCAUGGCCGUCGUCAAUUUAUGUUUGAUACAAUAGAUUAAACCCUAGAAAGGUUGAAGUCAGGUAUUAUUGCCUUUAUGUUUUGGGGUUCGAUGCGCUACAUUUUUUUUUUUAAUAAAAAAAAAGAGUUCGGAUUGUCUUUAAAAGAGGAUGAUGAAGGGGGAUUUAAUAGUAAUUGAAAAGUAGAGCGUUUCAAUGAAUUUGCCGCAAUGUUAGUACAAAUUGCCCGUCGCCUCUGCUGAUGGAAACAAAGUA
This 697-nucleotide ribosomal RNA is filed under the name Echinophyllia aspera. Its description in RNAcentral is "partial 12S ribosomal RNA". It matches the Rfam family "Bacterial small subunit ribosomal RNA", at positions 320 to 1422 of the family's 1533-position model. The record is from RNAcentral. Lineage: Eukaryota; Metazoa; Cnidaria; Anthozoa; Scleractinia; Lobophylliidae. RNAcentral also lists the same sequence under 1 other name.